UAUGUACUCCCUCCGUCCCAUAUUAAGUGACUUCCUAUUACAUGUAUCUAGACGUAUUUUAAUAUAUAGAUACAUCCAUAUUUAGACAAAUUUGAGUCACUUAAUAUGGGACGGAGGGAGUAAUAG
Brachypodium distachyon (stiff brome) is the source of this 126-nucleotide non-coding RNA. Lineage: Eukaryota; Viridiplantae; Streptophyta; Magnoliopsida; Poales; Poaceae. The record is from Rfam.